GUGUAGUCUAGUAAGUGUGUUUCUAUGUGGAGUUAAUUGGGGUGGACUUCCAAUUGAAGGCAGCUGUGUGGUGUUGCCUUUGAUUGGAAGUCCUAUAUUAGUUGGGUGUGUUUGUCUGUGUGUUUGUGGGAGAUUGUUCUGUGUUUAGCCUUGUGCCUUGCCAGACUGUCAGUGGAUCGUUCGUUCUCUUGUUUGUUGUUUUUGUGUUCGUUUUGAUUUAAUAAAUGUUCAAAAUGAACAAACACAGUCCUGCUGCAUUUUGGUCCUCCUUCACCGACGAUAACCGUGACAACCCUCAUAGAUAUCAUCCUAACCAACUUGCCCUCCAAAUACACCUCUGCUGGAAUAUGUUUUGUCAUUCAUCCGAUAACAUUGAGGAGUUUAUCACAUCAGUCACCAGCUUCAUUAUUAAGCGCAUUAACGACGUCGUCCCCACAGUGACCAGACGUAUGUACAUAUAGGUAGGUAGGGGUAAAGGAUAGAUAAUAGGCAGUAUACUGUAGGUAGGGGUAAAGGAUAGAUAAUAGGCAGUAUACUGUAGGUAGGGGUAAAGGAUAGAUAAUAGACAGUAGCAGCAGUAUACUGUAGGUAGGGGUAAAGGAUAGAUAAUAGACAGUAACAGCAGUAUACUGUAGGUAGGGGUAAAGGAUAGAUAAUAGACAGUAGCAGCAGUAUACUGUAGGUAGGGGUAAAGGAUAGGUAAUAGACAGUAACAGCAGUAUACUGUAGGUAGGGGUAAAGGAUAGAUAAUAGACAGUAACAGCAGUAUACUGUAGGUAGGGGUAAAGGAUAGAUAAUAGACAGUAACAGCAGUAUACUGUAGGUAGGGGUAAAGGAUAGAUAAUAGACAGUAACAGCAGUAUACUGUAGGUAGGGGUAAAGGAUAGAUAAUAGACAGUAACAGCAGUAUACUGUAGGUAGGGGUAAAGGAUAGAUAAUAGACAGUAACAGCAGUAUACUGUAGGUAGGGGUAAAGGAUAGAUAAUAGACAGUAACAGCAGUAUACUGUAGGUAGGGGUAAAGGAUAGAUAAUAGACAGUAACAGCAGUAUACUGUAGGUAGGGGUAAAGGAUAGAUAAUAGACAGUAACAGCAGUAUAUGUGAUGAGUCAAAAGAGUUGAGAGUGCAAAAAGGGUCAAUGCAGAUAGUCCAGGUAGCUAUUUAGUUAGCUAUUUAACUAACUAUUUAUCAGUCUUAUAGCUUGGGGCUAGAAGCUGUUCAGGGUCCUGUUGGUUCCGGACUUUGAGAGGAGCAGGGGCCAGUGUGUGUUUAGCAGAGAGAGAGAACGCCAAGCCGACUCACGUCAGUUAGACAAACUUGUUGCUGCCAUAGGUUAUCCAUCAUAUCAUCUGGUAGUGCCUAUCAUGACUGCAUUAACUUGUUAGCUAGCUAAGAGUAGCCAGCUAAUUUAGCCGGCUAGCUAGCUAGCUACAGUAAAGCAAAACAUGUUUCUGCUCUCCCUGUCCAAUGUCUACAUUCAUAUGAAACAACAGCCCAACAGCCUCAUUGUAGCCUAUUCCUUCUCAUUUAGCCAACUUCAUUCCAUAAUUUGUGUGUGUGCAUGUAUGUGUGUGUGAUGGAACUGACAGCUCAUGCUGAGGGAGACAGAGUAGUAGUCUGUGUGUGUGUGUGUGUGUGUGUGUGUGAGAGAGAGAGAGAGAAAGAGAUGGGACUGACAGCUGAGGGAGACAGAGUAGUAGUCUGUGUGUGUGUGUGUGUGUGUGUG
RNAcentral lists this long non-coding RNA (1726 nucleotides) under Salmo salar (Atlantic salmon). RNAcentral describes it as "lncRNA (ENSSSAG00000081943.1)". The record is from RNAcentral. Lineage: Eukaryota; Metazoa; Chordata; Actinopteri; Salmoniformes; Salmonidae.